ACAGCUUUACUGUGUCGGGCCAGUGGACAUCAGGCAUCCACAAGGACAAAGAUAAACCUCCCAGCUUCUCUGUUGUCCUUGAGAGAUUGAGGCGUACCUUGACAGAUUACCAGAACAAGCUGGAAGAUGCAUCUAAUGAGCUAAACAGCAUGAAUGAUGUUAAGGAAAAGGCAUGUAAUGAACUUGAUUCUACGAAACAGAAGAUAGACUCUCACACUAAAA
RNAcentral lists this long non-coding RNA (222 nucleotides) under Homo sapiens (human). RNAcentral's name for it is "HSALNT0146982". Lineage: Eukaryota; Metazoa; Chordata; Mammalia; Primates; Hominidae. The record is from RNAcentral.